Molecule: long non-coding RNA, 501 nt
Organism: Platichthys flesus (European flounder)
Lineage: Eukaryota; Metazoa; Chordata; Actinopteri; Pleuronectiformes; Pleuronectidae
Exons: 3
Source: RefSeq, a predicted model, not a curated record
UCUGUACUGAAACAGCUCCAGCGACAAGCUCCGGUAAACUGGUGAUCAGCGCCCAUUGAACCAGGUGUGUUUGUCUUGGAUUACCGGGGGAGCUCUUGUCAGUGGAAGACUGUCGGUCAAGGAUCUACUCGGAGAAACAGUUCAUUUCUCUUCAAAAUUCAAUGGCAGAACCAACUGUGGUGCUAAGCAUGCUCUCAGGUCAGUUUGUGUCCAUCAACUUCAUCUUGAGGUUUAACUGUGGGCGCAUGUUCAUUAGUGAGUGAGUCAUCCAGGUAAACCAAGACGUGUUGGAGCAUGCUCCUCCUCCUGGGCAAGCCACAACCGAAUCUUCUCCUACCCCACUUGUAUAUCAUCUUCCAGUUUCCAGUCCCUUUUUAUAAAGAUGGACGCCUUGACAGCCGCCAACAUUGGAGCCAGAAUACCAGCGUCACUGUAAAAUGUGUUUUCAUACAUGAGCUCAUUUAUUAUAAAGUAAGUUUGAAUUUGGCGCAUUGCCAUAGA